CGAGAGUAGGCUCGUCAACAAGAAGACAGUGAUAAAAAGCUAAGCUACUUCUACGCCUUUUCUGACGAUUAUUUACAUUUUUAAAGGGAUAAAGGUAAAUUCUAACAUUAAUAUUUCGCUGAACAUGAUUAGAAAAGAAAAUACAAGGCAGAAAAGAUGAAGGAAAGAAGAUACAAGAUACAGUCGGCGAUACAAGGAACGGCUUGGGAAGCACAACAAGAAACGAAAAACGAAGAACACAAGGAUAAUUCUGUAUGUACCAAUCUGUAGCCCCUGCAUAUCUGAUUAGGCUGCAUAUCUUGGGUGUCAUCAAGGUUUUAGACUUACGAUCGGGCGAUACAAUCAUGCCUCAUAAUCUUUCAACCUAUUAGGCAAAGUGACCUCUCUGCGGGAUCUUUCCCUCAGACCUCCUUCCAACCCCACGCUCGCCGACCGAACAGUCCCAUGCGACGCUACCUUUCUCAUACUUGUCGACUCUCCAGUCCCCUCAUCCAAAACAGUCGAUAAAGACCUCCCUCCCCUCGACCUGGGCGGUUGAAGAACCCCAGCGGGAAGGGGUGCAGUCUUUGGUGAUCUUGCCAUUUCCGGUAAGGGCAUCGAGUUUGUUCCACUAGGCGAAUGGGUGAACGCCCUUCUAGACUCACGUUCGCCCAAAGUCUCGAUGAAGGAUGUCGCUGAGCCACGUCUAUUGUAAGGCUGUUUCGCCGCAGGUUGAUCAUCGGUGUUUCGGUGCCCAUUAGCGCCUAUGACAGCUCGAAGAGGUGAGGCGGCGUGAACGCCGUUGCCGGUAUGGCUAAGAGCGUUGAAGCUGCGAGUGCGCUUGAGAGGAGCACGGGAUAGAGGAGGUGACAGUUUACUAAUACUAUCAGACCCUUUGUCUUUACUUCUUUCCGGCUGAUCGGCUGCUGGCGUAUCCUCUUGAACUGAAGGAGUUGGAGUCUGUUCAGUUAUAAUCGGAACCUCCUCCUCGUCUUCUACAGCCUGUCCUUUGAGUUCCCUGACUAGCCGCUUAGCUCUGGCUUCCUUUGCCUUCUUCUCCUUCAGCUCUCUUCUAUUUAACUUUUUCGGUUUCUCACUUCUGGCGACUUCCAAAUCGGAGGGAUUAAACGAUCGCGUAUUACCCCAAUCGGACUCGGGAGAAUAAGGAUGCCCGGUAAGUGCGUGGACAUCUGCAAGUGUCUCGUCCGAUGAAACAUACGCAAGGCAGCGGUUGAUAAUCGGGCGAUAAAGUGGGGUAACCGUGACGUACUGUUCUGAAGCAAGAGGAGCCACAUGAACACUGGCUUUACGUCGUUUCGUCGGUCUUGCGCAAGUUCUCUUUGCAUUUGGGAUGUUGUCGUCACCAUUGAUUGUCUGAGAGGUGAUGGGCGAAGUGUGGAGAGGGGAAUCAUAAGUGAAUGAGACUGGCUUGAUGCUAGUUAACUCGUGGUAGCCGCCCUUGUGAGCUUGGCGUUUCGUCGGAGAGAUUGUGACAGAGGAUGGGGGAAUAGGGAAUUGGAAAGUAAUGGGGACUGGGGGCAUAAUGAGAAUUGCAAUGGUUUAAAGAGCGAUUAAUGAAGACAUAACAUUUAUU
This 1573-nucleotide small RNA is filed under the name Cryptococcus neoformans H99. RNAcentral's name for it is "Cryptococcus neoformans var. grubii H99 hypothetical RNA". Lineage: Eukaryota; Fungi; Basidiomycota; Tremellomycetes; Tremellales; Cryptococcaceae. The record is from RNAcentral.